Molecule: transfer RNA, 84 nt
Filed under: Candidatus Kerfeldbacteria bacterium
Lineage: Bacteria; Candidatus Kerfeldiibacteriota
Description: tRNA-Leu
Rfam family: tRNA
About the family: Transfer RNA (tRNA) molecules are approximately 80 nucleotides in length. Their secondary structure includes four short double-helical elements and three loops (D, anti-codon, and T loops).
Source: RNAcentral
GCCGAAGUGGUGAAAUUGGCAGACACGCAUGGUUCAGGGCCAUGUCCCCGCAAGGGGGUGGGGGUUCGACUCCCCCCUUCGGCA